This 834-nucleotide transfer RNA is filed under the name Bradyrhizobium sp. KO17. Its description in RNAcentral is "partial contains 16S rRNA and ITS1". The stretch from base 243 to 316 matches the Rfam family "tRNA". Lineage: Bacteria; Pseudomonadati; Pseudomonadota; Alphaproteobacteria; Hyphomicrobiales; Nitrobacteraceae. The record is from RNAcentral.
GUAGGGGAACCUGCGGCUGGAUCACCUCCUUUCUAAGGAUGAUCCUUCAGAUCGCUCGCGCGUUCUAUCGGAUCGUUUUAGAAACAGUCAGGGGCCAACAGUUUCAGGAUUGUUGAGCUCCAUUGGCGGGAUUUCGCCGUCUUCGUUUCUCUUUCUUCGCGGACGAACACGCGCCAGGGGCUGAGCGCUUGAGCGAUGCACCGGCGCAAGUCGGCUGCGCGCCGGCAUGCCUCUCGUGUUAGGGGCUUGUAGCUCAGUUGGUUAGAGCGCGCGCUUGAUAAGCGUGAGGUCGGAAGUUCAAGUCUUCCCAGGCCCACCAUUUUGAUCGAGUGCGGAGCAUUCGUCUUCUGGUACGGGGCCAUAGCUCAGCUGGGAGAGCGCGUGCUUUGCAAGCAUGAGGUCGUCGGUUCGAUCCCGUCUGGCUCCACCAGAUGGAAUUGAAGCUCGAGAAUGCCUCGUUCAAAUCGUCCGCGAAACAUCACUUCGCACUCAUUGGUCCGGAUGGACGGUGACGUGCGUGUUUUCUGACAUCGUAAAGAGGAGAUCGAUCCGAGUUUGGAUCUGCGAAGCAAUUCGCGGGUACCAUUCAUAAUCUCCAGAUCGUUUUCGGCGCUCGCGCAUCGCAGCUCAUCGCAAGAUGAGUGAGAUGAGCGAGUUGUAAAACGAUCUUUUUAGCGAAGCUUGACCGCCUCGCUAUCGGGCCGAUCUUACGAAGCAAGCUGGUCUUUCUAAUCAAUGUCCGGCUGUGCAAUUGCAUUCAUCGAGGAUGCGCGCCUUAAGUGGCAGUUACACAGACAACAUUCUGCCGAGUGUGUGGACAUUGAUAAUGAGAGC